AAAAAGAUAAGCUAAUUAAGCUAGUGGGUUCAUACCCCAUUUAUAAAAGUAUUAAUCUUUUUCUUUUUA
This 69-nucleotide transfer RNA is filed under the name Arge similis. RNAcentral's name for it is "tRNA-Met". Lineage: Eukaryota; Metazoa; Arthropoda; Insecta; Hymenoptera; Argidae. The record is from RNAcentral.